UACACGGUGGAUGCCCUGGCAGUCAGAGGCGAUGAAGGGCGUGCUAAUCUGCGAUAAGCGCCGGUAAGGUGAUAUGAACCGUUAUAACCGGCGAUACCCGAAUGGGGAAACCCAGUGUGAUUCGUCACACUAUCAUUAACUGAAUCCAUAGGUUAAUGAGGCGAACCGGGGGAACUGAAACAUCUAAGUACCCCGAGGAAAAGAAAUCAACCGAGAUUCCCCCAGUAGCGGCGAGCGAACGGGGAGGAGCCCAGAGCCUGAAUCAGCAUGUGUGUUAGUGGAAGCGUCUGGAAAGGCGCGCGAUACAGGGUGACAGCCCCGUACACAAAAGCGCAU
This 336-nucleotide ribosomal RNA is filed under the name Salmonella enterica subsp. enterica serovar Bareilly. RNAcentral's name for it is "partial 23S ribosomal RNA". It matches the Rfam family "Bacterial large subunit ribosomal RNA", at positions 20 to 390 of the family's 2925-position model. Lineage: Bacteria; Pseudomonadati; Pseudomonadota; Gammaproteobacteria; Enterobacterales; Enterobacteriaceae. The record is from RNAcentral.